GUUUCAGCAGCCGCGGUAAUACGAAGGGGGCUAGCGUUGCUCGGAAUCACUGGGCGUAAAGCGCACGUAGGCGGAUCAUUAAGUCGGGGGUGAAAUCCUGGAGCUCAACUCCAGAACUGCCUUCGAUACUGGAGAUCUUGAGUCCGGGAGAGGUGAGUGGAACUGCGAGUGUAGAGGUGAAAUUCGUAGAUAUUCGCAAGAACACCAGUGGCGAAGGCGGCUCACUGGCCCGGUACUGACGCUGAUGUGCGAAAGCGUGGGGAGCAAACAGGAUUAGAAACCCCAGUAGUCC
This 292-nucleotide ribosomal RNA is filed under the name uncultured bacterium. RNAcentral's name for it is "partial 16S ribosomal RNA". It matches the Rfam family "Bacterial small subunit ribosomal RNA", at positions 505 to 796 of the family's 1533-position model. The record is from RNAcentral.